Molecule: long non-coding RNA, 280 nt
Filed under: Elaeis guineensis (African oil palm)
Lineage: Eukaryota; Viridiplantae; Streptophyta; Magnoliopsida; Arecales; Arecaceae
Description: long non-coding RNA (EGUI_LNC023223)
Source: RNAcentral
UUCAUAAUAAGAUGGCAGAUGCUUUGAGUAGACAAGCAGCUUUAUUGGUGACCAUGUAGCAGGAGAUUGUUGGCUUUGAUUGCUCGAAAGAGCAGUGUAUAGAUGAUGAGAUUUUGGAGAAAUCAGGCACAUGCGCAUUCAGAAAUAUCUCGCUGAAGAUUUCCACAUAUAUGAGGGUUUCCUGAUGUGAUUGUAAUCAGUUAUGUAUUUUCUGGUCUUUCUUGCAGGAGAAACUUAUUCGUGAUUUGCAUGAAGGCAGCUUAGCAGAUCACUUGGGGUG